This 82-nucleotide non-coding RNA is filed under the name Caenorhabditis remanei. Lineage: Eukaryota; Metazoa; Nematoda; Chromadorea; Rhabditida; Rhabditidae. The record is from RNAcentral.
CGUUAUGGCAGCUUGACAGGGCAACCGUAAGGUUGGCUGAGCCUAUAUUCAGUAUUGUCACCCCUGUUUAGCUGCCACCAUC